This 472-nucleotide ribosomal RNA is filed under the name Streptococcus gordonii. RNAcentral's name for it is "bacterial SSU rRNA". It matches the Rfam family "Bacterial small subunit ribosomal RNA", at positions 28 to 474 of the family's 1533-position model. The record is from RNAcentral. Lineage: Bacteria; Bacillati; Bacillota; Bacilli; Lactobacillales; Streptococcaceae.
GACGAACGCUGGCGGCGUGCCUAAUACAUGCAAGUAGAACGCACAGUUUAUACCGUAGCUUGCUACACCAUAGACUGUGAGUUGCGAACGGGUGAGUAACGCGUAGGUAACCUGCCUGGUAGCGGGGGAUAACUAUUGGAAACGAUAGCUAAUACCGCAUAAUAUUGAUUAUUGCAUGAUAAUUGAUUGAAAGAUGCUAUUGCAUCACUACCAGGUGGACCUGCGUUGUAUUAGCUAGUAGGUGAGGUAACGGCUCACCUAGGCGACGAUACAUAGCCGACCUGAGAGGGUGAUCGGCCACACUGGGACUGAGACACGGCCCAGACUCCUACGGGAGGCAGCAGUAGGGAAUCUUCGGCAAUGGACGAAAGUCUGACCGAGCAACGCCGCGUGAGUGAAGAAGGUUUUCGGAUCGUAAAGCUCUGUUGUAAGAGAAGAACGGGUGUGAGAGUGGAAAGUUCACACUGUGACG